GACGAACGCUGGCGGCAGGCUUAACACAUGCAAGUCGAGCGCCCCGCAAGGGGAGCGGCAGACGGGUGAGUAACGCGUGGGAACGUGCCUUUCGGUUCGGAACAACUCAGGGAAACUUGAGCUAAAACCGGAUACGCCCUUCGGGGGAAAGUUUACGCCGAAAGAUCGGCCCGCGUCAGAUUAGGUAGUUGGUGGGGUAAUGGCCUACCAAGCCUACGAUCUGUAGCUGUUCUGAGAGGAAGAUCAGCCACACUGGGACUGAGACACGGCCCAGACUCCUACGGGAGGCAGCAGUGGGGAAUAUUGGACAAUGGGCGCAAGCCUGAUCCAGCCAUGCCGCGUGGAUGAAGAAGGCCCUAGGGUUGUAAAGUCCUUUCGGUGGUGAAGAUAAUGACGGUAACCACAGAAGAAGCCCCGGCUAAUUUCG
This 427-nucleotide ribosomal RNA is filed under the name uncultured Alphaproteobacteria bacterium. RNAcentral's name for it is "bacterial SSU rRNA". It matches the Rfam family "Bacterial small subunit ribosomal RNA", at positions 28 to 505 of the family's 1533-position model. The record is from RNAcentral. Lineage: Bacteria; Pseudomonadati; Pseudomonadota; Alphaproteobacteria.